Molecule: long non-coding RNA, 1793 nt
Organism: Mya arenaria
Lineage: Eukaryota; Metazoa; Mollusca; Bivalvia; Myida; Myidae
Exons: 7
Source: RefSeq, a predicted model, not a curated record
UCGAAAUCGCGUGCGAAAGAAAAAUGGUACAUGAUGAUCUUGGCUUUUCUUCGUUUUUUUUCUUCAAACUGUUGUCGUGUUGACUUGCUGUGUCUGCGGAGCAACGCUCACUAAACUGGAAUAAAACGGAUUGAACUCAUCCAUCUUGAAGUGUGUUAAUAGAAAUAUAUCCAGCAACCUACCUGAUGUUUUGCCGGAACAAUUACAACAUUGGACCACAUGCACUGGAACCUUCUUAUUCAAGGUGAUGCCGUAGAAUAGUGCCAAGAGUAAUUUCCUGAGUAGCUCACAGCACAACCCUCUUAUGAUUUAAGGAGCUUUCCUAUGGGACUACCAGUGGGGAAGGGCUGUAUUUAGUUGUUGCUGUCAAUUAUCUUGGUACCAGUCAUGACAACAUUUACAUACCUGCAGCAGAGGCCCUACCGACUAUAAACAAUCAUAGCUGACGGAUUGAACUAUUUCAUCUGGAAAGCGUGUUCAUAGGAAUAUAUCCAACAACCUGUCUGAAGUUUUGCCAGAAUAACUACAACAUUGGACAACAAGCUCCGGAACUUUGUUAUUCAAGACAGUCCUUAUUGUGUGUUGGCAGAAAUGCAGAGUGGUACCACCAGUCGUCUAUGCCACCUUUCCCCUCAUUUUAGAGGCUAAUGUGGACAGUCCCUGCAGUUUACAGCUAAGCCCUCAGUAUAGCCCUAAAAUUUUAGGUAAGGGAUAAAUUUUGGCUACAAGCUUACGAUUUAUGCAAUCGUUUUAAGUCUGUACUUGUUCUGAGCACAACUCACAUUCCACAUCACAAUUUAAGAACCCAGACCAAAUCUUUUUCUCAGAUGUACUGGCUAAGCUUCAUGUACGUACACUACUAAUAUUUGGAUAAGAACUUUCUCAAAUUGAUAAUAAUUAAAUAAAUGAGGUAUCCCAGAUUUACACCCAGUCCUGUUGCAGAUACUGCCGAUGGCGUAGAUCCGGUACAUUGGGUCUGAGUUUCCAGUACUGGAUUGACAUCUCCAUGCAGCCGAACUAGAGCCAGGAUUAAUAUCAGACGGACCUCUCUGUGGGUGGAUGGAUUCAGAGAUGACCCCAAAGAUGUGGCCAUGACUGUGUCACAUGGAUGUGAUAGAUGAAACCACCUUGAUUUAGUUUUCUGGUGAUAAAUCAACAGACAAAGUGUUCAUAAUUUGUGGAUAAAUAGUGUUUAAGCUAGAAACUUUUCUACAAAUUUUUACUCAAGUGGUGAAAUGAAAUAAUUUUGCAUAUAACAAAGAAGAGAAUCUUGCUGUGGGCCGACUUCAUACACAAUUCUGCAGUCGUCUGCACUAGACCUGUUGGGGCAGUUUGAUUUGAUUUAUCAAUGGCUCUACUUAAAGCAAGGUUUUGUUUUCACAAGCUUGAUGUAAUAUUCUUUUUAUUUUCACACUAAAAAACACUGACAUUUGACAAGUUUCAUGACAUAUUUAAGGCAAUUUUCUGAAUAUUUAAAAAGGUAACAACCCUUCAAAAUUUUGUUUACAUCAUUGUUUUUGAGUGAAAAUUUAAGAAAUUAGAAAUUCUACCUCUUUUAAACACAAUAUACCGGCUUGGAGACUCAAAUUUAUCUCUAAGAUUGCCAGAGAUUCAAAUGACGUUUGUUCAAACUUGUAAAUACUUUUAAUAAAUUGAAUAUGAUAAAAAAAUAUGUUUUACUAUACAUGUACUCUGAUAAUGUAAGGCUUUACAAAUGGAGUCUGAUGUGUUUUAUAUUGUGUACUAUACUUUUAAUUCUCUUUUAUAAUUCAAUGCAAAGACUUGUGCAAUAA